UACGUAGGGUCCGAGCGUUAAUCGGAAUUACUGGGCGUAAAGCGUGCGCAGGCGGUUUUGUAAGCCAGAUGUGAAAUCCCCGAGCUUAACUUGGGAACUGCAUUUGGGACUGCAAGGCUGGAGUACGGCAGAGGGAGGUGGAAUUCCACGUGUAGCAGUGAAAUGCGUAGAGAUGUGGAGGAGCACCGAUGGCGAAGGCGGCCUCCUGGCUCGACACUGACGCUGAGGUGCGAAAGCGUGGGGAUCAAACAGG
This 253-nucleotide ribosomal RNA is filed under the name uncultured bacterium. Its description in RNAcentral is "partial 16S ribosomal RNA". It matches the Rfam family "Bacterial small subunit ribosomal RNA", at positions 524 to 776 of the family's 1533-position model. The record is from RNAcentral.